RNAcentral lists this ribosomal RNA (253 nucleotides) under uncultured bacterium. RNAcentral's name for it is "partial 16S ribosomal RNA". It matches the Rfam family "Bacterial small subunit ribosomal RNA", at positions 524 to 776 of the family's 1533-position model. The record is from RNAcentral.
UACGUAGGUGGCAAGCGUUGUCCGGAAUUAUUGGGCGUAAAGCGCGCGCAGGUGGUUCCUUAAGUCUGAUGUGAAAGCCCACGGCUCAACCGUGGAGGGUCAUUGGAAACUGGGGAACUUGAGUGCAGAAGAGGAGAGUGGAAUUCCAAGUGUAGCGGUGAAAUGCGUAGAGAUUUGGAGGAACACCAGUGGCGAAGGCGACUUUCUGGUCUGUAACUGACACUGAGGCGCGAAAGCGUGGGGAGCAAACAGG